RNAcentral lists this transfer RNA (70 nucleotides) under Wasmannia auropunctata (little fire ant). RNAcentral's name for it is "tRNA-Cys". The record is from RNAcentral. Lineage: Eukaryota; Metazoa; Arthropoda; Insecta; Hymenoptera; Formicidae.
UAUAUUAUAGUUUAUAAAAAUAUUAAAUUGCAAAUUUAAAGAUAUCAAAAACAUUAUUGGAUUAAUAUAA